GGAGAUUGCUGUGCAUUUAGCUUUCGAAAGUACGGCCUUCCCUUCCUUCUCAUUCGGACUUCGUCUGCUCGGCGUAGCGUGAAGCAUUAUUUGUGAGAGGAACUCUUCAAUCGAGAAAGAGUAUCGAUAGGGACAACGAACAAGUGAAGGAGCUUUGGAGUUCGACCUAGGGUUUCCCAAUCCCAGAGCUCUGCUUCUCCCUUAAUUUCCAUUGAUAAGGAGUAGAAUCAUACACUCUUUGUUUAUUACUGUUAACUAGGAAGAGAUGGGUAAUGUAUUUGUGAAGAAGCCAAAGAUCACAGAGGUGGAUCGUGCAAUUCUUUCUCUCAAGACCCAAAGGCGGAAGCUUGCACAGUAUCAACAAAAGCUUGAAGAAGUUAUUGAAGCAGAAAAGCAAGCUGCUAAAGAUUUGAUUCUUCAAAAGAGAAAGGAUAGGGCAUUGCUAGCAUUGAAGAAGAAGAAAACACAAGAAGAAUUAUUGAAGCAAGUGGACACCUGGCUAAUUAAUGUUGAGCAACAAUUGGCAGAUAUUGAACUGGCCAGCAAGCAGAAAGAAGUGUUUGAGAGUUUAAAGGCAGGUGCUGAUGCAGUCAAGGCAAUACAAAGUGAGAUCAACUUAGAUGAUGUCCAGAAGCUAAUGGAUGAUAGUGCUGAAGCUAAAGCUUAUCAAGAUAUCCCGAAUUUGUGGUGGAUUUGAAGGACAUAAAUGCUAUCUUGGGGGAGAAAUUAUCAGCAGAAGAUGAAGAAGAGAUCUUAGCUGAAUUCGAGAACUUGGAAACUCAGAUCAUCAUUGAAGACAUGCGAAGAGUACCAUCUAAGGAACAUGAGGAAAAAUUGGAUCUUCCAGAUGUACCAACCAAACCACCAGCUGCUCUUGAGGCAGUUAAAGAUGAUACUGACAUUGCUUCAGCUGAAGCUUCCGCAAAAAGAAAAGUUAUGGAGGAACCGAUGCCUGCAUGAUUGGGGAAUACAGUUAAAUCCUGCAAUCGCAUGAAGCUGCUGGCCAUCCUGAAUCAUUAUCUGCCUCCAGGUGGUGUUAUCUAUACAUAUGUUUUUCAAAUUCUUCAAUUUAGUGGAAUUUUGCAAUUGUGUGCAUGUUAAUUUAGAUUUCCUGUCACAAUUAUACUAACUAGAUCUGUAUAUAUCAGUAAAAUUUAAACCAAGUAACCAUAGAGUAUAUCUUUUUAUCAUAAUUAAAUGAAUG
Molecule: unclassified non-coding RNA, 1204 nt
Filed under: Hevea brasiliensis (rubber tree)
Lineage: Eukaryota; Viridiplantae; Streptophyta; Magnoliopsida; Malpighiales; Euphorbiaceae
Source: RNAcentral